Molecule: ribosomal RNA, 504 nt
Filed under: uncultured bacterium
Lineage: Bacteria
Description: bacterial SSU rRNA
Rfam family: Bacterial small subunit ribosomal RNA
Source: RNAcentral
GACGAACGCUGGCGGCGUGGAUUAGGCAUGCAAGUCGAACGGUAUCAUCCUUUCGGGGGUGAGAGAGUGACGAACUGGUGAGUAACACGUAGGUUAUCUACCCUCAAGACGGGGACAACCCAGGGAAACUUGGGCUAAUACCGGAUGUGAGCAACUUUUAGUUGUUUGAAAGGUGGCGUAAGCUGUCGCUUGGGGAUGAGCCUGCGUCCUAUUAGUUAGUUGGUGAGGUAACGGCUCACCUAGGCAAUGAUAGGUAGGCGGCCUUAACGGGUGGUCGCCCACACUGGGAUUGAGAUACGGCCCAGACUCCUACGGGAGGCAGCAGUCGAGAAUAGUCUACAAUGGUCGGAAGACUGAUAGUGCGACGCCGCGUGAACGAUGAAUCCCUUCGGGGUGUAAAGUUCUUUUAUAUGUGAGCAGUGCUUCUUAUAUUAACAGUAUGGGGAGAGAGAUAUUAGCAUAUGAAUAAGCAACGGCUAACUCCGUGCCAGCAGCCGCGGUAAA